AAGUCGUAACAAGGUAACCGUAGGUGAACCUGCGGUUGGAUCAUUAACAAAUUAUUUAGGCCCCUGGCUGCCCUGGAAAGGGCGAAGGGGGGAAAACCUAAACAUUUGUGUGCACCGUAUCUGUCCUUGGCAGCUCGAGUGUCCCCAGGUUGCGUAACUGCCCCGGGUUCCUACGGAUGGUCUCCCUUAGGGGAUAUUUGAUGUUGGGCCGCCGCUUUUUGGAAAAACCCUUUGUAUGUUUGUUUUUGCCUGAAUUUGUUUGAUCUUUUUGAUUGAAUUUGAAAUACAACUUUUGACAACGGAUCUCUUGGCUCUC
Molecule: unclassified non-coding RNA, 316 nt
Filed under: Rhizophlyctis rosea
Lineage: Eukaryota; Fungi; Chytridiomycota; Chytridiomycetes; Rhizophlyctidales; Rhizophlyctidaceae
Description: partial internal transcribed spacer region
Rfam family: Eukaryotic small subunit ribosomal RNA (bases 1-46)
Source: RNAcentral